GAGGAUAGAAAUCAAAGGAAAGGUUAAAGGAAGGAGGGAAAGAAAUUGAACCAUUUACAGCAGGUAGACCAUCCUUCUAUAAUGUUACAGUGAGUUGCUAUUCAUUUUACAUGUAAUGUAUAAACAGGGAGCAGCUCAAAGUUUUUCUGAGCUGCAACAACUUUCAGAAUGCUACUUCAAAAGAAUUUAACUUUGUUAUGCAUAUUAAGGUAUGGAUUAUUUAAUUAUCAGAAAAAUAACUAAUUUCUUCCUCAUCUGAAGGGUCAUUGUUUACCUGAGGAUUAGUUUGAGCAUCAACCAUGACACCAUGCUCAAAUGCGUUCUUCUCUUCUGAAGAGUCAUCAGCUACUGAAGAUGUCGAGAGAGCGACAUUGAUUACACCAGAUUCAAAUCUCCGCCGCCUUUCAACAGCAUUCUCGACCAAAGUUUGAAAUUCUUCAUCACUGCUAGCUAACAUGUAGCGCAGUUUAAAAUUGAUUUGAUUCUCCACUAGAACUUUGUGCCUUGGAAUUAUCCGUUCGUCUAGAGAAUAGCUGAAGAACCUUGGAAACUCAAUGAGAUCCUGCAAAGGCCGGACCAUGGUUCGCCUCAAGUAACGAUACUUAGGGCGGAGGAGGUCUAUAUUGUAACGUAGUAGCAUGGGAAAAUCAGCAAUCAUCUCACCCAAUUGACGAUGGCGUAUGCCCAGUGACAGAAAAUAUUUCAUGCUGAUAUCAAGCUUAUGCACUAUGCUGCAUCCCAAGAGCUCUGGUCCCAAAGCUAUCACCUUACCAAUAUCCCUCUCACUAACACCAGCUUUUGUCAUCAAGAAUAUGACCUGCAUGAUACUCCAAGUUCAGCUAAACAAAAUAAUAUUUGUUAUCAUUUGACCGAUCAACAAAAGGAACCAUCCAUAGAGAUUUACAUGAUGAAGAAUUAUCCCAAAUGUAUCAUUAUUGGCAAAUGAAGGACUACUGUAGUGGGGAUUUUGGCAUAACAAUCAUGCAGGAAAUAAGCUAAAUCUUCAACAACACAUCAUAUUUUGGUUUAAAAAGAGUCAUCCACAUAAAAACAGAUAUAUCAAUUCACAUAGAUGGUCAUAUUAAUUUGCUCCAAGUCUACUUGAAAAACAAAAGACAUACAUAUAUGUAUUGUGUAUUACUGGGGAUACUUCAACAAUAGUACUCUUUAUGCAGGAUAUGUAAAGAACAAAAACAGUAAUUGACUGAGAAAAAGAACAAACCACUGGCCGGAUUUUCUUGUAGAGGCUGUAUGUUAGUAGUGGUGGAAAUUUUACAAGCAUUUUGCCAAUGGCGUCAUCUCUAACACCUAUGUCCUUAAAAAAACGCACCUUCAUAAGGAAAAAAAAAAAUCUUGUUAACUCUCAUCAGAAAGAGCAACGCAUAGACUAGCAUAAUUCAAUAAGUAUCCUAUUUCAUUUAAAGAAAAUACAUAGUUCAUGCAAUGCAAAAAUUAUUAGCAGAGCUAGAUUCUAGAGAGCAAAAAAUGAAGAUAAGAAAAUAAGAUUAGCAGGACAAAACUAAAAGGGAGAAUUAAGCUAGAUUACAAAACUUGCUUGUUUAAUGGUGUAGCAUUAACAAAGCUGAAGCAUAAUCAUGUAACAACCAGCAAUUCAUACCUUUGGCACUAUAGUCUCUUCCAAAUCAACACAGAAAACUAUUGGUUUAAUGGUAAGCAUUCUCCUCAUACCAUCUCGAGAGAUUCCAAGGUAGUAUAAAUACUUAACAAGAGGCUUCCACCUUUCCUCAAUGCUACAACCCAUCAAUUGUGGCUUAAAUGCAAGUAAUCUCCCAACUUCUUCAUUAUUGACACCAAACUCCUUCAGGUAAUUAACCUUUUGGUUCAUCUCUUCCAGGGUAAAAUAGCCAAGUACCCUAGGAUAAUCAAAGACCAUUGUGCCAAAAUCCUUCUCAUUCAUACCCAUAUCCAAGUAGAACCUGACUCGAGCUUUCACUUCUUCCAUGCUAUAAGACAAUAAUUGAGGACACCGACUCAUUACAUAGCCCAUCCAAUCCCUCCUCACACCAUUGCUCUCUAAAUACUCAACGAUUUCAGCUAGUUCUUCAUCACUGCGUUCUAAAAUGUUAUCCCCUGCUUUUGUGAGCACAACCCCGAGAAACUCUCCCCUGACAUGAAUUGACUUCAACCACUCAGCCCGGCCUGUAAUGGACUCUAGAUUUCCUCUGGACAAGCAUAUGAGCUUCGCAAUCUUAGGAUAUGGCAACCCAUUGUGUUUCAGCCACCUGAUAAGUGGGACAACGUUCAAGUCCUCAAUAACAGUCUUAGCUCUAAUAUUGAAACUCGAAGACUCAAACUCAGGCAACCUCUUCAAUUUCGCGGCCUCAAUCAUAAUAAAGUCAAUAAAAUCACUCAAUCUAUCAACCAAAUUGGUCGAAUACGUUAUUCCGAACUUGCCUUUCCUCUUCAUGGCUUCCUUGAAAAUCUCUGCGGUCACUUUUCUACGUAUCUCAAGCGCCUUCAUUAUCAUUUCUGCUUCAUCUUCUCCUCCAUCGUCGUAUUCACUGUCUUCGCUUCCGUUUUGAAAAAGGGUUUGCAAAGGAGAUUUGGUUUCUGUCGGGAACUGGGGGAAAAUUGAACCAGGGAACUGAGGGAUUCGUUUCUUAGUGACGAGGGUCAUUUCCAAAAGCUUCACUUUCUCUUCCGGUGAAAUAGCAUCCCGCAAUUUCUCUUCUUGUGAUAUUGCGUUUUGAAGUUGGCUUCGUUGUUUUAGGUGGUGGAGGAGGGCAGUGCUGGACUUGGAAUUUUGGGUCCGGAGGACUGGUUCAUCAGUAGGGGACGAGGUCGCCGGGUUUUGAGGUGGUUGGUGAUGUUGAUGGUGGAGGGAGGAGGAGAUGGUAAUGGUAGAAGAGGGAACGAUUAUGGAAUUACAGUUCCUGCUGUGGUUGUGACGGUGGCAGAGGCGGAAGUGGUGGUGCUGUGGACAGGAGAACAUCAUCCCUUCACUGUUGGGUCGCUGAUCAGUGUGUAAAUGGAUAGAGUAGCG
Molecule: unclassified non-coding RNA, 3004 nt
Filed under: Hevea brasiliensis (rubber tree)
Lineage: Eukaryota; Viridiplantae; Streptophyta; Magnoliopsida; Malpighiales; Euphorbiaceae
Source: RNAcentral